Molecule: long non-coding RNA, 1266 nt
Filed under: Phascolarctos cinereus (koala)
Lineage: Eukaryota; Metazoa; Chordata; Mammalia; Diprotodontia; Phascolarctidae
Description: lncRNA (ENSPCIG00000020197.2)
Source: RNAcentral
AUGCAUGUACCACACAGAUACAUACAAAGGCAUCUGUCUAUAACAAAUAGAAGUCCUCCCUCUUCUCUCUCUGUCUCUGUCUCUGUCUCUUUCUCCCUCUCCCUCUCUCUCUCCCUAUCUUUCUGUCUCUUUUUUUCUCUCCAUUUCUCCCUCCCUCUCUCUGUAUCUUUUUCUCUCCAUCUCUCCCUCACCUUCUCUCUUUCUCAGUUUUGCUCCCUAUCUCUCUUUUUUUCUCUCUAUGUUUCCCUCCCCUUCUCUCUCUCUCUCUCUCUCUCUCUCUCUCUCUCUCUCUCUCUCUCUCUCUCUCUCUCUGUCUCUGUCUCUCUCUUUUGCUCCCUAUCUCUCUCUUUUUCUUCCUCUCCAUCUCUCCCUCCCCUUCUCUCUCUCUCUCUUUCUCUCUCUCUUUUGCUCCCUGUCUCUUUUUGUUUCUCUCCAUGUCUCCCUCCUUCUCUCUUUUUCUCACUCUCUCUGUCUCAUUCUUUCUCUCUCUCUCCAUUUCUCCUUCUCUCCCUCUCUUUCUCCAGCUCUCCUUCUCCCUUUUUCUUUCACUCUCUCUUUCUCUGUCUCUGUCUUUUCCCAUCUUUCCUUCCCCUUCUCUCUUUCUCUCACUUUCUCUGUCUCUAUCUUUCUCUCUCCAUUUCUCCUUCUCUCUCUCUUCCUCUAUUUCUGUUUCUUUCUUUCUCCAUCUCUCUUCCCCCCCAACUCAGUCUCUCUCUUUCUCUCUCCAUCUCUCCCUUCCACUUUUUCUUUCACUCUCUCUCUCUACAUUUCUCCUUCCCUUUUUUCUCUCUGUCCCUCUUUCUUUCUUUCUCUUUUCUCAUCUUUCCUUCCCUUUCCCUCUUUCACUUUCUCUGUCUCUAUAUCUCUCUCCAUUUCUCCUUUUCUCUCUUCCUCUAUUUUUCUGUUUCUUUCUUUCUCCAUCUCUCCCUCCCCCUUUCUUUCACUCUCUCUUUCUCUCUGCAUUUCUCCCUCCCUCUCUUUCUUUCUUUCUUUCUUUCUUUCUUUCUUUCUUUCUUUCUUUCUUUCUUUCUUUCUUUCUUUCUUUCUUUCUUUCUUUCUUUCUUUCUUUCUUUCUUUCUUCUCUUCCCAUCUUUUCUUCCCCCCCACUUUCUCUGUCUCUUUCUCUCUCCAUUUCUCUUUCUCUAUCCCUCUGUUUCCUUCUCUCUCCAUCUCUCCCUCCCCCUCUGGCUCACUCUCUCACGUAUCCAUACAUGCAGGUGCAUACACACGUACACAUACAGAGUUGUUAGAAUGAUGAGAAAUUGA